RNAcentral lists this ribosomal RNA (240 nucleotides) under uncultured bacterium. Its description in RNAcentral is "partial 16S ribosomal RNA". It matches the Rfam family "Bacterial small subunit ribosomal RNA", at positions 96 to 334 of the family's 1533-position model. The record is from RNAcentral.
UGGCGAACGGGUGAGUAACGCGUGAGGAACCUGCCUCAAAGAGGGGGACAACAGUUGGAAACGACUGCUAAUACCGCAUAAGCCCACGACCCGGCAUCGGGUAGAGGGAAAAGGAGCAAUCCGCUUUGAGAUGGCCUCGCGUCCGAUUAGCUAGUUGGUGAGGUAACGGCCCACCAAGGCAACGAUCGGUAGCCGGACUGAGAGGUUGAACGGCCACAUUGGGACUGAGACACGGCCCAG